RNAcentral lists this ribosomal RNA (377 nucleotides) under uncultured eukaryote. RNAcentral describes it as "partial 18S ribosomal RNA". It matches the Rfam family "Eukaryotic small subunit ribosomal RNA", at positions 592 to 975 of the family's 1831-position model. The record is from RNAcentral.
CAAUAGCGUAUAUUUAAGUUGUUGCAGUUAAAAAGCUCGUAGUUGGAUUUCGGGUGGGACGCAGCGGUCUCGCAUUGCGUUUGUACUGCUGCAGCCCUCCUUCUUGCCGGGGGCGGCCUCUCGGACUUCACUGUCUGGGGGUCAGAAUCGGCGAUGUUACUUUGAGUAAAUUAGAGUGUUCAAAGCAAGCUUACGCUCUGAAUAUAAUAGCAUGGGAUAACACGACAGGACUCUGGCCUAUCGUGUUGGUCUAUAGGACCAGAGUAAUGAUUAAGAGGGACAGUCGGGGGCAUUCGUAUUCCGUUGUCAGAGGUGAAAUUCUUAGAUUUAUGGAAGACGAACAUCUGCGAAAGCAUUUGCCAAGGAUGUUUUCAUUG